Molecule: non-coding RNA, 24 nt
Filed under: Cricetulus griseus (Chinese hamster)
Lineage: Eukaryota; Metazoa; Chordata; Mammalia; Rodentia; Cricetidae
Source: RNAcentral
AUUUAUUUGUUUGUUUGAGAUAGG